CUUCAGGCACGAGGCUGCUGAGGGAAACCUGUGAGGGGGAGGAAGAAGGAGCCGGUCUGGGCGCUCAGGGGGGUUGUCUGAGGAGAAAAGGAGGGUCCUGGGGCUUCUCUGCCUCAGGUUGCUUCACCUCGGCUCAGCUCAUCUCAGGGGUCCGUGCUAGCCCCAGAAGUAUGAAGUAUUGCAUUGGAAUAAGCCUCUGGUGCUUGGGUGGUGGCUGAGGCGGGAAGAUGGGGUCCUGUGUGCAAUGCGAGUCCUCCUCGCCGUGCUGACGGAGGGCUGGAGUGCAGUGGGGUGGAUGGUGUCAACAGCUGAGAAGGACGUUCAUCGUGCUGCGUGCGCCUGGGCCAGCCUGACGUGAGGAGUAUUAAUGGGAGAGUUAUGAAACCAAAAUGCCAAGAAUGCCCUCUAUGGAUACCUAAUGGUCUAGGCUGCAUAGCACUGAUCUGCCGUCCUCGUCUGUAAUAGCUGAUGAUCACUUCUAACCUACCCUGUCACAGCUGUUUGAUGCCACAUCAAUUAAAACCGACGUGAGAUGUGGGCCUGGGAGAGGAUGAAGGCAAGCGUGAUGUGCGUCUGCCCAAAAAGACUGACAAUGAUGCUCCAAACUUAGUUGCCCAAGGAGCAGACAUUGCUUUUUUGAACGUGUAACUACUAGUUUAAACAGUCCUUUUGUUGGUGUUCCAAAACAUCGGACUGAAACCAAGAGGAGGGGAAGGUGGGCAUCCUGUUGCGAUGGCCAUGGUGGAAAUAGUGUUGGUUCUCUGUGGGGUGUUUAGUCUGAUGAACUUCGGAGGGCUGAAAUCCACCACUUGGAAGAUAGCAAGGGGGGGAAACUUGCCCAUCAUCACUGAGUGGUGAGAGCAGUGGGUUUCGGCUGGUGUGCCUGCUAGAGAUGGGAAGGCGUCUGGAAGAUGGGUGGGAGGUAGGUGCUCUGAGAAUACCGCAGGGACAGGUAGGAUGGAGGUGCAGAACAACUCAAAGUUAUUGGGGUUGGUUCUGUGCAUCUGUGGGACAGAAAAUGCAAAGGCUGAACAGGCAAACAUGUAAGCACCCAGGGAACAUAAAUGCCCCUGCACUGGGCAGGAGCUGUGGGGAGCUGAAGUCUGGAUUGAAGCAUUGUGAAACACCGACAUCACCUGUUACGAAUCAUAGCCCUUAGCUUGGUUGUCUCUCAUGGGAUACGAUAAGGGCUGUGCCUGUGUUUGGGGAGCUUUUUCUACCAGGUGGUUUUACCUCUGGUAUUCUCAAGCUCACCAAGAGAUGGUGUGGGUGCACACACUUGCUCUGCAUCUCCAUUACCUGAUCUUUCAACACAGUGUUAGCAAGCUAAUUUUUUUCCCAGGAUGAGACUUUAAUUCCCUCCCAUUGAUCGUGGCCAAAGAAGAGAGCUCAAAUGGAGAUUUUAUUCCAGAAACAAUGGCCCCCUUAUGUGCUCUGUCGUGCUCUCUGUGAAUGAACAUGCUAGUGAAAUGAAGGCUUUUCCCCAGGCUGUUUUGUACCUUUCUCAGGUGAAUCUUCAUAUUAGAUCAGCUGCUUGGAUUCCUGCAGGGACGGAGAAGGGAGGGAAAGCAUGAAAUCUUUGUUCCAUGGAGACAUGAGACAAAAUGACAGUCAGUGGGACUUGGUCUUCACAUUUAGUUUCCAUAAAUCCUCAUGUGCUGCAGUGAAAUUGUCCAUGUUAAAACUUAUGAAGCGGAGGGCAGUUUCCCUGUGCAGCUGUACAUGUUUUUCUGCCUUGUAAUGCUUCUCUCCAGGUCCAGUCCAAAGCCUCCGCCCUGGGCUGGCUGUUCACUUCAAACCAAAGCUGGCGUCAUCCUUCUUGCCUCAUCCUCAGCUCUGCUGUGAGCUGCUGCCUAUUCUGUUGGUACCUGCUCUUCCCCACCCUUCCCAGUGCUGUCAGCAUUUCUCAAGUUGUACAUAAAAUAUAGGUUGCUACUUUCCCAUGUUUGGUCCUUUGCUGGCUGAGCUGCACCAAAACCAUCAAGGUGAUUAAUUUGAUGAUCCAAUGCAGAAGGCUUUGAGAGCAAGGCAUUGGUGUUCUUGAUCACUUCCUCUCCUCUCGUCCCCUCUGCCACUAUCCGUCAAGAUGGCAUUUUAAUGAUCCUUUUACUGCUUUUCCUCUUUGCCUGAGACUUGCAGAAGUGCAAGAAGCAAUGUUGUAAUUUCUGUGCUGCCUACCCCUAAAUGAAGGGAAACUCCCUCCAAAUGCUGUGCCUGAAUUUCAGUGUGCAAACUUCCCUACAGUUUCCUACAGUGCUUCAGGUGGAGUGGUUUAUAUCUGUCUAUUGCUGGUUCUUGGUCUGAGCAAAAAAAGGACUGUAAUGUUUCUAUUUCUGUGUUGAGUGAGUGAGGCACAUGGAGAGGAGGAAAAGAGAUAUGCUUACAUAAGUUAAGGGUGGAGAGAGAAGGAAUUCCAUUGUCUGU
Long non-coding RNA from Aquila chrysaetos chrysaetos, 2424 nucleotides. RefSeq lists it as uncharacterized. NCBI's taxonomy places the organism in Eukaryota, Metazoa, Chordata, Aves, Accipitriformes, Accipitridae. The transcript has 3 exons. The record is from RefSeq and is a predicted model, not a curated record.